RNAcentral lists this ribosomal RNA (482 nucleotides) under uncultured bacterium. RNAcentral describes it as "partial 16S ribosomal RNA". It matches the Rfam family "Bacterial small subunit ribosomal RNA", at positions 28 to 507 of the family's 1533-position model. The record is from RNAcentral.
GACGAACGCUGGCGGCGUGCUUAACACAUGCAAGUCGAACGAUGAAGAAGAGAAACGCGAACUUCGGUUCAAAUUUCACUUCGGAUUAGUGGCAGACGGUAGAGUAACGCUUGAGCAACCUACCUCUUACAAAGGGAUAGCCUCGGGAAACCGUGAUUAUUACCAUAUGACACCUUCAUAAGGCGUCUUAAGAAUGUUAAAGCUACGGCGGUAAGAGAUGGGCUCGCGUCCCAUUAGCUAGUUGGUGAGGUAACGGCCCACCAAGGCGACGAUGGGUAACCGGCCUGAGAGGGUGAACGGUGACAUUGGAACUGAGACACGGUCCAAACUCCUACGGGAGGCAGCAGUGGGGAAUAUUGCACAAUGGAGGGAACUCUGAUGCAGCGACGCCGCGUGAGCGAUGAAGGAAUUCGUUUCGUAAAGCUCUGUUCUAUGGGAAGAAAAGGACUGUACCAUAGGAGAAAGCCCCGGCUAAAUACGUG